GGAGAUGUAGCUCAGUUGGUAGAGUGCUUGCCUGGCAUGCAAAAGGUUCUGGGUUCAAUCUCCAGCACCACAA
Non-coding RNA from Ictidomys tridecemlineatus (thirteen-lined ground squirrel), 73 nucleotides. The record is from Rfam. NCBI's taxonomy places the organism in Eukaryota, Metazoa, Chordata, Mammalia, Rodentia, Sciuridae.